Molecule: small nuclear RNA, 107 nt
Organism: Equus asinus (donkey)
Lineage: Eukaryota; Metazoa; Chordata; Mammalia; Perissodactyla; Equidae
Source: Ensembl
GUGCUUGCUGCAGCAACACGAAUACUAAAACUGGAAUGAUACAGAGGUGAUUAGCAUAGCCCCAGUGCAAAGAUGGCAUGCAAAUUCAUCAGAAGUUCCAUAUUUUA